CUCAGAUUGAACGCUGGCGGCAUGCCUUACACAUGCAAGUCGAACGGUAACGGGCCUUCGGGUGCCGACGAGUGGCGAACGGGUGAGUAAUGUAUCGGAACGUACCUUUCAGUGGGGGAUAACGUAGCGAAAGUUACGCUAAUACCGCAUAUUCUGUGAGCAGGAAAGCAGGGGAUCGCAAGACCUUGCGCUGAUUGAGCGGCCGAUAUCAGAUUAGCUAGUUGGUGAGGUAAAGGCUCACCAAGGCGACGAUCUGUAGCGGGUCUGAGAGGAUGAUCCGCCACACUGGAACUGAGACACGGUCCAGACUCCUACGGGAGGCAGCAGUGGGGAAUUUUGGACAAUGGGGGCAACCCUGAUCCGGCCAUGCCGCGUGAGUGAAGAAGGCCUUCGGGUUGUAAAGCUCUUUCGGCCGGGAAGAAAUCGUAUGGGCUAAUACCCUGUGCGGAUGACGGUACCGGCAUAAGAAGCACCGGCUAACUACGUG
This 487-nucleotide ribosomal RNA is filed under the name uncultured bacterium. Its description in RNAcentral is "bacterial SSU rRNA". It matches the Rfam family "Bacterial small subunit ribosomal RNA", at positions 23 to 507 of the family's 1533-position model. The record is from RNAcentral.